RNAcentral lists this ribosomal RNA (425 nucleotides) under uncultured bacterium. RNAcentral's name for it is "bacterial SSU rRNA". It matches the Rfam family "Bacterial small subunit ribosomal RNA", at positions 359 to 776 of the family's 1533-position model. The record is from RNAcentral.
GAAUAUUGGACAAUGGGCGAAAGCCUGAUCCAGCCAUGCCGCGUGUGUGAAGAAGGUCUUCGGGUUGUAAAGCACUUUCGCUUGGGAAGAAAGGGUGCGUGUUAAUAGCACGUACCUGUGACAUUACCUUGAGAAGAAGCACCGGCUACCUCCGUGCCAGCAGCCGCGGUAAUACGGAGGGUGCGAGCGUUAAUCGGAAUUACUGGGCGUAAAGCGCGCGUAGGCGGUUUGUUAAGUUGGAUGUGAAAGCCCCGGGCUCAACCUGGGAAUGGCACCCGAUACUGGCCGACUAGAGUACGAGAGAGGGAGGUAGAAUUCCACGUGUAGCGGUGAAAUGCGUAGAUAUGUGGAGGAAUACCGGUGGCGAAGGCGGCCUCCUGGCUCGAUACUGACGCUGAGGUGCGAAAGCGUGGGGAGCAAACAGG